This 75-nucleotide transfer RNA is filed under the name Polypterus mokelembembe (Mokele-mbembe bichir). RNAcentral's name for it is "tRNA-Leu". It matches the Rfam family "tRNA". Rfam says of the family: Transfer RNA (tRNA) molecules are approximately 80 nucleotides in length. The record is from RNAcentral. Lineage: Eukaryota; Metazoa; Chordata; Cladistia; Polypteriformes; Polypteridae.
GUUAGAGUGGCAGAGCCUGGUAAUUGCAUGAGGCCUAAGCCCUCACUCCCAGGGGUUCAAUUCCCCUCCCUAACC